CAAUAGCGUAUAUUAAAGUUGUUGCAGUUAAAAAGCUCGUAGUUGGAUUUGUGGCGUACGGUGUGUUCCGGGCACUUGUUGUCUGAGUAACCUGCUGUUGCCAUCCUUGGGUGGAACCUGUGUGGCAUUAGGUUGUCGUGCAGGGGAUGCUCAUCGUUUACUGUGAAAAAAUUAGAGUGUUCAAAGCAGGCUUACGCCGUUGAAUAUAUUAGCAUGGAAUAAUAAGAUAGGACCUUGGUACUAUUUUGUUGGUUUGCGCACCGAGGUAAUGAUUAACAGGGACAGUUGGGGGUAUUCGUAUUCCAUUGUCAGAGGUGAAAUUCUUGGAUUUCUGGAAGACGAACUACUGCGAAAGCAUUUACCAAGGAUGUUUUCAUUAA
This 380-nucleotide ribosomal RNA is filed under the name uncultured eukaryote. RNAcentral's name for it is "partial 18S ribosomal RNA". It matches the Rfam family "Eukaryotic small subunit ribosomal RNA", at positions 592 to 976 of the family's 1831-position model. The record is from RNAcentral.